Oncorhynchus tshawytscha (Chinook salmon) is the source of this 3635-nucleotide long non-coding RNA. The record is from Ensembl. Lineage: Eukaryota; Metazoa; Chordata; Actinopteri; Salmoniformes; Salmonidae.
AGCACUGAGCUAGGCUGAAACACCUAGAUUUUGGAGCUGCCUUAUGCAAGAAAGCAAAAAAAGAGACCAUUGUUGUAUGCGGCUUUAUUAACUCAAUUAAUAUUAUUUUUACAUUGUUUACAAACUGAAAUGUGACAUGUAUUAAUGCCAUCAUCAUACUUGUUUUUUUGUUAACAGGUGGGGCGAAAAACAGAGCCCCACAAACCUGGAUGAUGGGUCGCCACUGUGUGUGUGUGUGUGUGUGUGUGUGUGUGUGUGUGUGUGCGUGCGUGUGUGUGUGUGUGUGUGUGUGCGUGUGUGUGUGCAUUGAGUGACUGUGGUAGUUUGAAACCUGACUGGCUGGUUGGGUAGCCUCUGAAAGAGAGAGAUUAAUCCUGAUCAACUACCUGGCCAAAGGUCAAGUUGAUACAAAUAAAAUCCCAUAGGUUCAUUGUCAGUGUAAGACACGCAAUUUGAAGAUUCCAUUGAUAAUUUGAUAAUAAAAAGUGUAAUUGGUGUUAGUCAAUUUAAAUGAAGGUAAAUUACAUUGUGUGCAAAAUGAUUAAUCAUAUCAAUAGUAAAUGAAGGUUUGAAGGGUUUUAAUAACCUUAUAUUUUAUCAUCAGGUCUCCAUUUAAGAAAAUCCUCUGUUAUUGAUGUUACCGUCAUUGGUGUUACUACUCCUACCAGUAGCACAAUGUUAUUAUAAUGGUACACAUGACUUAAAGUCAUUAAGCUGCCAUAUUAGUUGAUUUAGAAUCGGAAGAUGUAUCCAAAUACAUUUAAAUCAAAUAAAAAAUAUAAAAAAUUCUUCAAAUGCCAUGCCCAAAUGCUACCACAGAGAAGAAGAAAGAAACGCCUUCUGCUCUGUAUGAAAGCGAAGAGAGACAUUGUUUCUUAACAAUCUGAGACUAGAAUAUUGCCUAUACAGGGUCUGUGUGUGUGUGUGUGUGUGUGUGUGUGUGUGUGUGUGUGUGUGUGUGUGUGUGUGUGUGUGUGUGUGUGUGUGCGUGUGCGUGUGUGUGUGUGUGUCUCAGACUGCUGAGUCACUGUGGGAGUUUGAAACCUGAAUGGCAAUGUACACUGUGUGGACAUACAAUCAACACUGUAGUCCACCCUCUGUACAGACAGACUAUCAACACUGCUGCCUACACCACGUACAGCCUAGAUAAAUAGAUUAUGAACACAAUCCUAGUCUGUUAUUAUCAUUAUAAUGAUGAGAUAGCAGGCUGAGCAGUGACCAGUAGGUGUUCUGUGUUAGGUGGGUUACAGCUAGAUUAAAAGCAAUUUAAUGGUAAUUUACCAACGUUUCGGCAUCACUUUGCCUUCCACAGGGUAAUGUCAUGAAUACUUGAACCAGGUUAUGUAGACAAACAGUGCAAUUAGUCCAACCAAUGACAAUAAUCAUAAUGAUUAAGUUAAUUAAGAUGAAUUAGUGAAACUGUUCAAAAUGGUAUAUGGCAUAUUAAAUAUACUAUGCUAUUGUUAUCAUAUAGAAACAUAAAGGAAAAUGUGUUCAGAAGGGCCUGAUAUCAAAGUCAAUAUUCAAACCACUAGGGGUCAAUGUGUUUAGAUAGGAUAUCCAGUAAGCCUCCUGUUGUAGUAGUAGGAUCCCAAUGUUACCUCCUCUCCUUGGUAGAGAACAUGCUCAAUGCCUGUGUAUUUGAGGGAGGAGAUUGAAUGGUUAGCUUCAACAAAGUGAGCUGCUAUUGGAUAGUCAGUGUUCUUACACCUGAUUGAGCUGCUCAGCUAUGCUUUGUUUUAAUUGUCUUUUCGUUUGUCCUACGUAGGCUUUUCCACAUGAACAGGUGAUGAGAUAGAUUACUCCCUUUGUCUUGCAUGAGAUGAUACCUCUAACAGGGAUCUUUCCACCUGUAUUUGGGUGUCUGAAGGAUGUUUUUAUAGUGCUAUUGCACUAUGUGCAUGAGCCACAUUUGUAGUUCCCAUUUGGGAUAGGUGUCAAGAGUGUCUGAGUGGGCUCAGGGGGCAUGUCAGAUCUCACCUAACUAUCUCCAAUAUUGAGACCACACUUAUAGACCACCAGUGGGGAUACCUUGAAGAGGUGUGCAAUUUUCUGGUCUGAUUGCAGAAUAUGCCAGUGAUUUUUCAGAGUUGCUUUCAUUUGGGGCAGCAGGGUAGCCUAGUGGUUAGAGUGUUGGACUGGUAACCGAAAGGUUGCAAGAUUGAAUUCCUGAGCUGACAAGGUCACAAUCUGUUGUUCUGCCCCUGAACAAGGCAGUUAACUCACUGUUCCUAGGCUGUCAUUGAAAAUAAGAAUUCGUUCUUCACUGACUUGCCUAGUUAAAUAAAAAUAAAAUAAAUAAAAAAUAAUUUCUCCGAACCCUUGGUGUACUUAGUGCAAAAGACAGUUGCGUUGUUUUUCUUCUUUGGUUGAGUUUUUAGUAAUUCCUCUCUUGGUUUUAUUUUCAUCAUUGCAGCAUUAAGAGUUUUGUACUUGUAGCCUCUCAUUUUAAAUGUAUCUGUCAUUUUUAUUAGCAUUGCUGUCAAAAUCUAACCCUGCAUAACUGGCUAAAUGGUAGACCAUUCUUGAGGGGAAGGGGAUGCAUACUAUCCGAUUAGUUUAACCCUGCAUAACUGGCUAAAUGGUAGACCAUUCUUGAGGGGAAGGGGAUGCAUACUAUCCGAUUAGUUUAACCCUGCAUAACUGGCUAAAUGGUAGACCAUUCUUGAGGGAAGGGGAUGCAUACUAUCCGAUUAGUUUAACCCUGCAUAACUGGCUAAAUGGUAGACCAUUCUUGAGGGGAAGGGGAUGCAUACUAUCCGAUUAGUUUAACCCUGCAUAAAUGGCUAAAUGGUAGACCAUUCUUGAGGGGAAGGGGAUGCAUACUAUCCGAUUAGUUUAACCCUGCAUAACUGGCUAAAUGGUAGACCAUUCUUGAGGGGAAGGGGAUGCAUACUAUCCGAUUAGUUUAACCCUGCAUAACUGGCUAAAUGGUAGACCAUUCUUGAGGGGAAGGGGAUGCAUACUAUCCGAUUAGUUUAACCCUGCAUAACUGGCUAAAUGGUAGACCAUUCUGGAGGGGAAGGGGAUGCGCACAUAGCAAGGUAUUGUGAUCUGUGGGCUUUCUGUAUAAAUCUGUGUGUAAUGCAUCCUUCUCUUUGAUAAUCCAUAAAUCCAGGUAGGAUUUAUUGAUUACUAUCUAACUCCUAGUGGUCUGAAUAUUGAUUUUGAUCUCAGGGCCUUCUUAUGAACACAUUUUCCUUUAUGAGCACAUCUUAUAAAUGUAUAUUCUUUCUACAGCAUAUUAGCUUAUAACCUGGUUCAAGUUUUCAUGACAUUACCCUGAGGAAGGCACAGUGAUGCGGAAACGUUGGUAAAUGACCAUUAAAUUGCUAGGAGUUUAUACAUGGAGUGUGCCACUUUCUUUAUUUUGAAAGGUUACAGCUAGAGAAAUGAAUGUUGGUAGAUAGUUUUUUCUCUCUCCAGAUAUAAAAAGGUUAACAGGGCUACACACAACUGGGGAACAGGUGAACAUACAGGUGACUGGGGAACAGGUGAACCUACAAGGGACUGGGGAACAGGUGAACGUACAGGUGACUGGGGAACAGGUGAACAUACAGGUGACUGGGGAACAGGUGAACGUACAAGGGACUGGGGAACAGGUGAACGUACAGGUGACUGGGGAACAGGUGAAC